CAAAAACAUGUCCUUUUGUUAUUUAUUUAAGGUCUGACCUGCCCAAUGAGGAAUUGAAUGGCCGCAGUAUUUUAACUGUGCUAAGGUAGCAUAAUCAUUUGUCUUUUAAUUGAGGGCUGGAAUGAAGGGUUGGACAAGAUACUAACUUUCUUUGGCUUAAUUUGGGAAUUUAAUUUUUGAGUUAAAAAGCUUAGAUUUACUUGUUGGACGAGAAGACCCUAUAGAUCUUUAUAAUUUUAUAUUUUGAUGAUUUAGGGAUUUAUUUACUUGGAAUUAGGGAAUUAUUUUGUUGGGGUGACUGUAGAAUUGAAUGAACUUCUAUUUGCUUAAUUCAUUUAUUGAUGUUUAUUUGAUCCAUAUUUUGUGAUUAUAAGAUUAAGUUACCUUAGGGAUAACAGCGUAAUUUUUCCGGAGAGUUCAUAUUGAUGGAGGAGUUUGCGACCUCGAUGUUGGAUUAAAAUAAGUUAUAGAUGCAGGAGUUUAUAUACUGGGUCUGUUCGACCUUUGAAUUUUUACAUGAUCUGA
Molecule: ribosomal RNA, 525 nt
Filed under: Panstrongylus tupynambai
Lineage: Eukaryota; Metazoa; Arthropoda; Insecta; Hemiptera; Reduviidae
Description: partial 16S ribosomal RNA
Rfam family: Bacterial large subunit ribosomal RNA
Source: RNAcentral